Coniella lustricola is the source of this 99-nucleotide non-coding RNA. Lineage: Eukaryota; Fungi; Ascomycota; Sordariomycetes; Diaporthales; Schizoparmaceae. The record is from the annotation of a GenBank genome assembly.
UCCGAUAUGGUGUAAUGGCUAACAUCCGGCACUCUCAUGUUUGGCUCCAAAUCAAAUAAAGGUUCUGCCGAGCUCGGGGUUCGAUUCCCCGUAUCGGAG